RNAcentral lists this long non-coding RNA (1073 nucleotides) under Bemisia tabaci. RNAcentral describes it as "lncRNA ENSSSA3NGG003068". Lineage: Eukaryota; Metazoa; Arthropoda; Insecta; Hemiptera; Aleyrodidae. The record is from RNAcentral.
CACCGCGGAGCCCUGGCGGUCGCCAAGCAGUCUGGCUUUUUCAUUUGGUCCUCACACCUCCGACCAUCCUCAUCCUCCUCCGUCUUCCAGGGCAGCGGCGUCCCCCAUCCCUCGGACCUCCAAGCGCUCCACGUUCCGCGGUAAUCGGAGAUCUCUUUCCCCACACCUGAAAAUCGGAUUAUUUUUAAAUCGUUUUGAUUCCAUCGCAAACAUUUCGCGGACGCAAAGGAGCAAAGACAACUAAAUAAUACGUCGUCUGGUGAAGAUCUAACCGUGCCCCCUCUCUUACUGCCGGGUGGAAACGUUCGCGGUGGUGAUCGCGCUUAUUUCCUUUGUUUUUGGUUUUUUCUAACGUCCACUGCUGUUUUCCAUUCUUUAUUGUUCCGUUUCGCAUGUUGAGCGUUCCACUCCGGAUCUCUUCUUUUGCGCGAUGUAUUUGUUUUCCGACGGCAUCAAGAAGAACUACGGAUCGUCAGUGUUUUUCAUUUAGGCCCCGUCGGUAUGUGCUAGCGAACCGGUUUUUACCCCAGGAAGCUGAGCGAAGUUGACGAAACCGGGAUAAGAUAUCACAGGGCUCGAUGAUGUUCGUGCAGUUGCUGUGCUGGUGCUGUCUUUACGCGACAGUCUCCUCGUCCGCAAUGCAAGAUCCAGAAGAGGUCAGCGUUCCUAAGCGGACAGACCACACUAACAAGACACCCUUUCCUACACAUACAUUCAGGUCGUCAUUGAGCAAGGACAACACGGGGCUCAUAGGGGCCUCUCCAACGGCUCUGCUGGGCCCGGGCAACUCUCCCAUGCACAUUCCGCUCAAGUUCUGGGAGAACCCCCGCAAGUCGGUCAUGAAACCUCGCCGCAAGGAUCUCCUCGAGCCGCAUCUCAUGAAACUUCUCGGCAAGGAUUUCGAUUACAAGUGGAUGCGACGAUCAAAAGAUCAAACAUCAUCCCUGGUAGGCAAAGGCGAGGUGGAAGGAAAGACUAUAAGAGCACUACGGGCUCUGGUGAGUCAGAACCACAGCUAUGACGAGCUGGUACAACUGCCGGGAACCUGCCGGAUCAGUACAAGGAGCUGGUGA